UACGGAGGGUGCGAGCGUUAAUCGGAAUUACUGGGCGUAAAGCGUGCGUAGGCGGUUUGUUAAGCAAGAUGUGAAAGCCCCGGGCUCAACCUGGGAACUGCAUUUUGAACUGGCAGACUAGAGUAUUGUAGAGGGUGGUGGAAUUUCCAGUGUAGCGGUGAAAUGCGUAGAGAUUGGAAGGAACAUCAGUGGCGAAGGCGGCCACCUGGACAAAUACUGACGCUGAGGCACGAAAGCGUGGGGAGCAAACAGG
RNAcentral lists this ribosomal RNA (253 nucleotides) under uncultured bacterium. RNAcentral describes it as "partial 16S ribosomal RNA". It matches the Rfam family "Bacterial small subunit ribosomal RNA", at positions 524 to 776 of the family's 1533-position model. The record is from RNAcentral.